GAUGAACGCUGGCGGCGUGCCUAAUACAUGCAAGUCGAGCGAACGGACGAGAAGCUUGCUUCUCUGAUGUUAGCGGCGGACGGGUGAGUAACACGUGGAUAACCUACCUAUAAGACUGGGAUAACUUCGGGAAACCGGAGCUAAUACCGGAUAAUGUUUUGAACCGCAUGGUUCAAAAGUGAAAGACGGUCUUGCUGUCACUUAUAGAUGGAUCCGCGCUGCAUUAGCUAGUUGGUAAGGUAACGGCUUACCAAGGCAACGAUGCAUAGCCGACCUGAGAGGGUGAUCGGCCACACUGGAACUGAGACACGGUCCAGACUCCUACGGGAGGCAGCAGUAGGGAAUCUUCCGCAAUGGGCGAAAGCCUGACGGAGCAACGCCGCGUGAGUGAUGAAGGUCUUCGGAUCGUAAAACUCUAUUAUUAGGGAAGAACAUAUGUGUAAGUAACUGUGCACAUCUUGACGGUACCUAAUCAGAAAGCCACGGCUAACUACGUG
Molecule: ribosomal RNA, 497 nt
Filed under: uncultured bacterium
Lineage: Bacteria
Description: partial 16S ribosomal RNA
Rfam family: Bacterial small subunit ribosomal RNA
Source: RNAcentral